Molecule: non-coding RNA, 73 nt
Organism: Podarcis lilfordi (Lilford's wall lizard)
Lineage: Eukaryota; Metazoa; Chordata; Lepidosauria; Squamata; Lacertidae
Source: the annotation of a GenBank genome assembly
GCACUGAUAGUUCAGUGGGUAGAACAGGGGACUCUUAAUCUCAGGCUUGUGGGUUUGAGCCUCAUGCUGGGCA